Molecule: long non-coding RNA, 337 nt
Organism: Papaver somniferum (opium poppy)
Lineage: Eukaryota; Viridiplantae; Streptophyta; Magnoliopsida; Ranunculales; Papaveraceae
Exons: 3
Source: RefSeq, a predicted model, not a curated record
GGCAAGAACUCUUGGAGUGAUUCAAUCUCACCUUGCAACGUAUCCAUUUUAUUUAUCUACGGAAAGCUAUCUAUCUCCGCUUAAGCCAGCAUCAAAGAAAAAUCUGCAGAAGAAAUUGGGGUUUCAUCAAUUUCAAAUACGGAAUCAAAUUUUGUGAUGGAGACGUUCCUCUUUAUUUGGGUCAAUGUUGACACCAAGGGGAAUAAAUUUUAGCUGUCUGCAACCCACUUACGGCUCAAGUGUGUCCACAAUAUAAUUGUUCUUGGCUAAUAUCUACAAAUUUUGUUGUUCAGGCCUUUGCAUUCAUUUCAAAUCCGAGAAUAAUCAUUAACCUCAU